RNA transcript from Sinocyclocheilus anshuiensis, 4170 nucleotides. It is a transcript of the gene named serine/threonine-protein kinase BRSK2-like, with no coding region annotated. The transcript is spliced from 21 exons. NCBI's taxonomy places the organism in Eukaryota, Metazoa, Chordata, Actinopteri, Cypriniformes, Cyprinidae. The record is from RefSeq and is a predicted model, not a curated record.
CGCGGAGGAGAGCAGCAGCCCCACCGAUCCUCAAGCGAGAGAGAGAGGCAGCGUCUGGAGCAAGAGCUGGGCGGGGAAAUAACUGCGGUACUGAAGAAAUACUUAAUUGCCGAACUGCAGAAAUUUGUUGGCAUCAGAACUUCGUCCGUGUAAAGCAAAAUGUCAUCGUCGGGAAAAGACAACAGCUCUCAGCAUGCGAAUUACGUGGGACCGUAUCGCCUGGAAAAGACGCUCGGCAAAGGACAGACAGGCCUCGUGAAGCUGGGAAUCCACUGUGUCACAUGUCAGAAAGUUGCCAUAAAAAUUGUAAACCGGGAGAAACUCAGCGAGUCUGUGUUGAUGAAGGUGGAAAGAGAAAUAGCUAUUCUGAAGCUCAUAGAACACCCUCAUGUUUUGAAGUUGCACGAUGUCUAUGAAAAUAAGAAAUAUUUAUAUUUGGUUCUAGAGCAUGUGUCAGGUGGAGAGCUCUUUGACUACCUGGUAAAGAAGGGCAGGUUAACACCCAAAGAGGCCAGGAAGUUCUUCAGACAGAUCAUCUCAGCGCUGGACUUCUGCCACAGCCACUCUAUAUGCCACAGAGACCUGAAGCCAGAGAACCUGCUGCUGGAUGAGAAGAAUAACAUCAGGAUAGCAGACUUUGGCAUGGCUUCUCUACAGGUUGGACAGAGUCUCUUAGAAACCAGCUGUGGAUCCCCUCACUAUGCCUGCCCAGAGGUUAUAAGGGGGGAGAAAUAUGAUGGCAGGAAAGCUGAUGUAUGGAGCUGUGGAGUCAUUCUCUUUGCACUUUUGGUGGGUGCUUUGCCAUUUGACGACGAUAACCUGAGGAACUUGCUGGAGAAAGUGAAGCUUGGGGUCUUUCACAUGCCCCAUUUCAUUCCUCCAGACUGCCAGAACCUACUGAGGGGGAUGAUCGAGGUGGACGCCACCAAACGAUUCACGUUAGAACAGAUACAGAAGCACACAUGGUACAUUGGAGGGAAGAAUGAGCCAGAACCAGAACAACCGGUGCCACGGAAAGUGGCGAUCCGCACACUACCCUCUACUGAGGACAUCGACCCAGAUGUGCUUGAAAGCAUGUACUCGCUCGGCUGCUUCCGAGACAAGAACAAACUGAUGAAAGACCUGCUGUCAGACGAUGAUAACCAGGAAAAGAUGAUCUACUUCCUCCUGCUGGACCGUAAAGAGAGAUAUCCUAGCCACGAGGAUCAGAAUCUACCACCCAGAAAUGAGAUUGAUCCUCCCAGGAAGCGAGUGGACUCUCCACUCUUGACAAGGCACAACAAGAGGAGGCCAGAGCGCAAGUCUAUGGAGGUGCUGAGCAUGACAGAGGGUGGAUCUCCUGUUCCUGUGAGACGUGCCAUCGACAUGGCACAACACGGACAGAGUAAAUCUGUUUUCAGUAAAAGCUUGGAUAUCUCAGAUACCAACCCCAUACUGCAAUGCAAGGAGGAGAGGUCCCGGUCCAUCAGCGGAGCCUCUUCUGGUCUGUCUACUAGUCCCCUCAGCAGUCCUCGGCCCAUGAGGCGGUUUGCCGUUCCGCCACAAUCCGCAGAACUCACACAGUCACCCAACCACAGCCCCACCCACGCGCCUGUGUCCCGGGUGAACGGCACAGGCCCCCACUCCCCCAAAACUUUUCAACCAAAGACAGUUGCCCUUCAGUCCAACAACAAAACCCAGACCCUUCCAGCCAAGCCCAAAGUUGCAGACAAGCCCCUGCAGGCCACCAGGUCCAACCCACUCCCUAACACGACGGCCGUGCCAUCUGCGGCCAGGUCAGAACCUUCUACGCCCUGCCAACCCCUGUUCCCGCCGAUGCCCGGCAGCCCAAAAGUGCGCCGGCCACCGCUCACAGUGCCACCCAAACUCUCUGUUCCCCUUUCCCCCCUUUCACCCAUCCGGCUUCACCACCUUCACCCGCUGGCCGGGACUGACCACAACGGCAAAUCUAUCCCCACCAUACAGGUUACGCCUCACCCUUCCCCCAGGGGCAGCCCAUUGCCAACUCCAAAAGGAACGCCGGUGCACACGCCUAAGGAGAGCCCAGCAGGAACCCCUAGCCCUACGCCGCCCCCCAGCCCCUCUAUUGGAGGCAUGCCGUGGAGAACACGCCUCAACUCCAUUAAAAACAACUUCCUUGGCUCACCACGCUUCCACCGCAGGAAACUACAAGUUCCCACACAAGAGGAAAUGUCCAGCCUAACACCAGAGUCUUCCCCCGAACUUGCCAAAAAAUCUUGGUUUGGAAAUUUUAUUAACCUCGAAAAGGAGGAGCAGAUCUUUGUGGUGAUUCGGGACAAGCCUCUGAGCUCCAUCAAAGCAGAUAUUGUACACGCCUUUCUCUCUAUUCCCAGCCUCAGCCACAGUGUGGUGUCUCAGACGAGUUUCCGGGCAGAAUACAAAUCCACAGCUGGCCCCACUGUGUUCCAAAAGCCAGUGAAGUUCCAGGUGGACAUCACAUAUUCCGAAAGCACGGCUGCCACCAAGGAGAACGGCAUCUACUCUGUCACUUUCACACUGCUCUCAGGUCCCAGCCGACGCUUCAAACGGGUGGUGGAGACGAUUCAGGCUCAGUUGUUAAGUACACAUGACCAGCCUGGUGUCCAGCAGCUGUCUGGCAGCCCAUUGAGUAACUUCUUUGACGUAAUUAAACAGCUCUUUUCAGACGAGAAGAACGGGCAGGUGUCCCAUCCGCCCUGCACGCCCAUUCAUGCCAACAGCAAGAGACAUGAGCCUGAGCCUAAUGACUCCAAAUGUUCAUCUGGCCAAGACAAAGCCAAGAUGGCACCAUCAGUUGGGACACAGGAACAACCUUAAAACCAGGAGAAAUACUAGAUUACUAGUUUUAAAAUAAAAUAAAAGAAUCCAGUCAUGGUGAAAGGAUAUUGAAAGGAUGUUUUUGACUCAAGUUGGUUUUAACCAAGCCUCUACAAAGUUUUACAUUAUGGAUUGAAUACUGAAGUACACCCGACACUUCACAAAAGGCGCAUACAGAGACACAUGCCUAUUUUGUUUCUCUCCAGUGUUGUUUGUUCUUCACGGUGUCUCGUUAUGUUCUGUUUUAUGAUGCCUUUAUUUAUUUCUGCUACCAGGAAUUAUCCAGAAAACGUGUUAAAGCCCCAAGUCCUGCUCUUGCACAAGAUUCAUGUAUGGCACAUUGAUGGAGGGCACAUUACACAGGAAGUUCAGUACAAGCAGCUGAGGGAAACUCAUUCUGAUGCAUCUAAACACCCCAAACACCAACAAGAUUCCUUCCUCCUGCAGCUACUGUACAUACAGCCACACAUGUCCGAGGAUUUGGAGUGAAGCCUUAAAAUAAAGAUGUUUAUGAAUUAUCACUAAGCUAACCCACAAUUCAUCUUUUUAUUUAAACAUACUUUUUUUUUUUUUUUUUUAUCCUUGCUUGUCUUCUUUCCUCCCCUCUCUGCUGAUGCACACACAAACACACAGACGUACAUACCGGACAUCGUUACAAAUGGCGAAUGGAGCUCUGGAUAUCAUAACGCACGUGUUUGAGGAGUUGCCCUCGAGGACCGUGGUUGGAUUGUAUUCUUUUCAAUAUAGUCUUUCUUUGUGAAAUGAAGAAUUUAAAAAAUGUUAUGGACUCGGUAUCAUUGCUGUACAAGAUUUGGAGAUCCUAUUUGAAAAAUGGUGGGGAUGAACUUUGGGGGGGGCGUCACAGUAAAUUAUCUAUUCUGUUGUACAGACUGAAAAUAGUCCUUAUGUAACAAAUGUCUAUCAGUGACAAUGCUUAGAUGAAUUGUGUUGCCACAUCAUGUUUUUUUUUUUUCUCAUGUAGCAUUCAUGAAAUGUUAGUUUUGAAUGAUGAUUAUGCUUAAUGUAUUCGAGGAUUGCUCGUGAUGUCAAUUUUCAAUUUGUAUUUAUUUUGUGUUUACUUUAUAUUGAGAAACAUCUGCAGGAUUCAGAGACCUUUUACCCUUUUUUGUAACUUAUUUAUGUGUUUUUGUCUUGUUUUAAUUUAUUCAGCUGGGGAAUAUUUAUAUAUACAAAACCGGGUGGUGGAGAUUUUAUUGUUUGCAUCAGGGCGACUUGUCAGAUUGUUUGAAGGAUUUGUGUUUUGUGUAUGAUAACACAUCCGAUUUUGUGAAUGAAGCACUCUUUCUUUCCUGGCUUUGAACAGAUUAAAGAGCUUGUAGUAUAUGUUAAAUU